CGGUAACUUUAGUUUCUAUUCUUGAUUGGAAAAGUAGUCUUCGGGAGUUCAUUCGUGUAAUCCCCUACUCCCACGAUAACUUUAGUUUCUAGCACAUGCAAAGCAUGUGCUGGUCUUAAGGAAAUCUUUUUUUUUUGGUUCUCCUUUCCACCACUUUAAGAUUCAUGCAGUGAGUUUAAUCUGAGUUGGGGUAUUACAGGCCAGCUUAGUCAUUUUCCCAAAG
Molecule: long non-coding RNA, 223 nt
Filed under: Elaeis guineensis (African oil palm)
Lineage: Eukaryota; Viridiplantae; Streptophyta; Magnoliopsida; Arecales; Arecaceae
Description: long non-coding RNA (EGUI_LNC043477)
Source: RNAcentral